This 247-nucleotide ribosomal RNA is filed under the name uncultured bacterium. RNAcentral's name for it is "partial 16S ribosomal RNA". It matches the Rfam family "Bacterial small subunit ribosomal RNA", at positions 1256 to 1500 of the family's 1533-position model. The record is from RNAcentral.
UGCGAAGGCAAGCGGAUCUCUUAAAGCCGUUCUCAGUUCGGACUGUAGGCUGCAACUCGCCUACACGAAGCUGGAAUCGCUAGUAAUCGCGGAUCAGCACGCCGCGGUGAAUACGUUCCCGGGCCUUGUACACACCGCCCGUCACACCAUGAGAGUCUGUAACACCCAAAGCCGGUGGGAUAACCUUUAUAGGAGUCAGCCGUCUAAGGUAGGACAGAUGAUUAGGGUGAAGUCGUAACAAGGUACC